This 468-nucleotide ribosomal RNA is filed under the name uncultured bacterium. RNAcentral describes it as "partial 16S ribosomal RNA". It matches the Rfam family "Bacterial small subunit ribosomal RNA", at positions 28 to 507 of the family's 1533-position model. The record is from RNAcentral.
GACGAACGCUGGCGGCGUGCUUAACACAUGCAAGUCGAACGGAAAGGCCCUGCUUUUGUGGGGUGCUCGAGUGGCGAACGGGGGAGUAACACGUGAGUAACCUGCCCUUGACUUUGGGAUAAAUUCAGGAAACUGGGGCUAAUACCGGAUAGGAGCUCCUGCUGCAUGGUGGGGGUUGGAAAGUUUCGGCGGUUGGGGAUGGACUCGCGGCUUAUCAGCUUGUUGGUGGGGUAGUGGCUUACCAAGGCUUUGACGGGUAGCCGGCCUGAGAGGGUGACCGGCCACAUUGGGACUGAGAGACGGCCCAGACUCCUACGGGAGGCAGCAGUGGGGAAUAUUGCACAAUGGGCGGAAGCCUGAUGCAGCAACGCCGCGUGCGGGAUGACGGCCUUCGGGUUGUAAACCGCUUUCGCCUGUGACGAAGCGUGAGUGACGGUAAUGGGUAAAGAAGCACCGGCUAACUACGUG